Molecule: non-coding RNA, 144 nt
Organism: Gossypium arboreum
Lineage: Eukaryota; Viridiplantae; Streptophyta; Magnoliopsida; Malvales; Malvaceae
Source: Rfam
UAUUAAAAUUUUAUCAAUUUUUACUGUUAAAAAUUGACGUGAUUGAUAAAAUAAUUAAAUAGUUAUACGUGGUGUGUCAUGUGUAUCGUAUUCUAACAUACAUGAACUAAUUUUUAAUAAUAAAAAUAGAUAAAAAUUUUAUCA